Molecule: long non-coding RNA, 409 nt
Filed under: Coturnix japonica (Japanese quail)
Lineage: Eukaryota; Metazoa; Chordata; Aves; Galliformes; Phasianidae
Description: lncRNA (ENSCJPG00005019638.1)
Source: RNAcentral
AGGAUAGUACCAAAGGAGUACUUACUGUUACAAUAACUUUUUUUUCUUUCUUUCUAUGUUGUGUGCUAUAGGUGCACUUUUGGAAAGACAACUCCAGAUGAAAUUCAAAUGAACAGAAGAGAAGGGGACUAACGCAAGAGAAAGGGGCCGUGACUUCCAUAAAAUCAGCCAGCAGCUCAGUGACACAGUACUGUCUGUGGACCCACAUCAGAAUUGAGAUAACAACUCCCUUGUGCAUGGCCUUGUUCAGUUACAGUCACAGACUGUCAUAAACCCUGCUCUCAAGGAUACUAGAACUUACUCCAUUUGGAAAAUCUCCGGAAGAUUGAACCUGUAGUACAGGUAGGAAAAGUUGGCAUUGCCAAUGAAUUUUGCUUAGCCACAAUGUUAACAUGUCCAUGUUUUCUAA